Molecule: ribosomal RNA, 181 nt
Filed under: Dociostaurus maroccanus
Lineage: Eukaryota; Metazoa; Arthropoda; Insecta; Orthoptera; Acrididae
Description: partial 18S ribosomal RNA
Rfam family: Eukaryotic small subunit ribosomal RNA
Source: RNAcentral
GCUUUUGUACACACCGCCCGUCGCUACUACCGAUUGAAUGAUUUAGUGAGGUCUUCGGACUGGUACGGACUGGUACGCGAGUCGUUGCCGGUGCUACCGGAAAGAUGACCAAACUUGAUCAUUUAGAGGAAGUAAAAGUCGUAACAAAAUUUCCGUAGGUGAACCUGCGGAAGAAUCAUUA